AAGCAGCUUGCUGCUUUGCUGACGAGUGGCGGACGGGUGAGUAAUGUCUGGGAAACUGCCUGAUGGAGGGGGAUAACUACUGGAAACGGUAGCUAAUACCGCAUAACGUCGCAAGACCAAAGAGGGGGACCUUCGGGCCUCUUGCCAUCGGAUGUGCCCAGAUGGGAUUAGCUUGUUGGUGGGGUAACGGCUCACCAAGGCGACGAUCCCUAGCUGGUCUGAGAGGAUGACCAGCCACACUGGAACUGAGACACGGUCCAGACUCCUACGGGAGGCAGCAGUGGGGAAUAUUGCACAAUGGGCGCAAGCCUGAUGCAGCCAUGCCGCGUGUAUGAAGAAGGCCUUCGGGUUGUAAAGUACUUUCAGCGGGGAGGAAGGGAGUAAAGUUAAUACCUUUGCUCAUUGACGUUACCCGCAGAAGAAGCACCGGCUAACUCCGUGCCAGCAGCCGCGGUAAUACGGAGGGUGCAAGCGUUAAUCGGAAUUACUGGGCGUAAAGCGCACGCAGGCGGUUUGUUAAGUCAGAUGUGAAAUCCCCGGGCUCAACCUGGGAACUGCAUCUGAUACUGGCAAGCUUGAGUCUCGUAGAGGGGGGUAGAAUUCCAGGUGUAGCGGUGAAAUGCGUAGAGAUCUGGAGGAAUACCGGUGGCGAAGGCGGCCCCCUGGACGAAGACUGACGCUCAGGU
This 686-nucleotide ribosomal RNA is filed under the name Escherichia sp. RNAcentral describes it as "bacterial SSU rRNA". It matches the Rfam family "Bacterial small subunit ribosomal RNA", at positions 73 to 752 of the family's 1533-position model. Lineage: Bacteria; Pseudomonadati; Pseudomonadota; Gammaproteobacteria; Enterobacterales; Enterobacteriaceae. The record is from RNAcentral.